Molecule: ribosomal RNA, 484 nt
Filed under: uncultured bacterium
Lineage: Bacteria
Description: partial 16S ribosomal RNA
Rfam family: Bacterial small subunit ribosomal RNA
Source: RNAcentral
AUUGAACGCUGGCGGCAGGCCUAACACAUGCAAGUCGAGCGGAUGAAGGCAGCUUGCUUCUGGAUUCCGCGGCGGACGGGUGUGUAAUGCCUAGGAAUCUGCCUGGUAGUGGGGGAUAACGUCCGGAAACGGGCGCUAAUACUGCCUACGUCCUGCGGGAGCAAGAGGGGGGUGUUCGGACCUUUCGCUCUCAGAUGAGUCUAGGUCGGAUUGGUUAGUUGGUGGGGGAAAGGCCUACCAAGGCGACCAUUCGUAACUGGUCUGCGUGGAUGGUCAGUCACAUGGGAACUGAAACACGGUCCAGAGUCCUACGGGAGGCAGCAGUGGGGAAUAUUAGGCAGUGGGCGGAAACCUGGUACAGCCAUGCGGAGUGUGUGAAGAAGGUCUUCGGAUUGUAAAGCACGUUUAGUUGGGGGAAAGGGCAGUAAGUUAAUACCUUGCUGUUUUGACGUUACCAGCAGAAGAAGCACCGGCUAACUUCGUG